This is an RNA transcript of Octopus sinensis (East Asian common octopus), 6430 nucleotides long. It is a transcript of the gene named tyrosine-protein phosphatase non-receptor type 4, with no coding region annotated. Lineage: Eukaryota; Metazoa; Mollusca; Cephalopoda; Octopoda; Octopodidae. The transcript is spliced from 32 exons. The record is from RefSeq and is a predicted model, not a curated record.
AGCGGUAGCAGCAGCGGCGGCGUGUUUCGAGGCGGCGGCGGCGAAGAAGGCAUCCAGCAGCGAGGGAGGCGAGUCAAAGCCGAAACCAUGAAGUCAAGGAGUACAAAAACCACAAAAACUGGAUUUUUAUAACAAACAAACCCGAAAUUAAUCGAGAAAUCCCAGAAGAAAGGGAAAUUAGUCGCUGCCACCAACAUAUUUUAUAGAAUCGUUAUUACUAUUAUCAUCUUCACCAUUAAUAUCGAUUAUUCAUAGCAAAUAAGAAAUUAUUAUUAUUUCCUCCUCUGGCUUUCUUUUAAAUCGUUUUUUUUACCGCCUCCGCACUUUUAUUUGGGCAGAAAAAAACCGAAGAAAAAGAGUAGCGAGACUCCGUCGUCGUGUGUGUGUCCGUGUGUGUGUGUAUAUAGCGGUGUUAUGAUUGUAUAAUAUAUAUAUAUAUAUAUAUAUAUAUAUAUAUAUAUAUGUAUGUAUAUGGUGUGUGUUUGUGUAAAAAGUGAAGAAAUCACAGCUCGAUCGGUGUUUGUGUGUGAAUGGUGUUAAAUAAUAAUUAGAAUAAUUUUGAUGUGAGAAGGAUCGAGUGGACAUUUUUAAAUGCGGUGAAUUUGGUGAAGGAUUUUCGGGAGGAGAGAGAUCGGGGAUAAUGUAAGAAUUAGAACAAUUAGAAGAAUAAUAAUCUACGUAAGUAGUGAUAACAGACAAUCUAUAAAUAUAUGAUAUGUAAGAGAGAGAGAGAGAGAAGGAAGAAGAAGACACCCGGGCUGGAUUAAUGAUGUAGUAAUUAAUUAAUUAACAAUAAUAAUAAUAAUAGUAAUAAUCAUCCUUAUAUAAUAUGUGGUGAGCGAAUUGAGGGGGGGAGCAAAGGAAAAGGAACCCCCUCUGAAAAGAAAAGUUCCCCUUUACCAAUUGCAUUAGAAAUAAGAAUCGUAAGCGAAAAGAAAAUCUAAGAAAUUGAAUGAAAAUCUAAAAGUAAAAAAUGGAAGAACGUCAAGAAAUGGUUAAGGAAGCGAGUCUGGAGAAAACGGAUGAAGAAGCGUUGCAAGCAAUGUCCAUUAAGCUGGUGUCCAGCGGCAGUUACAAUGUGCGGGCAUCCGAAAUGGCCCAUGAUCGGCAGCUGAAAACCAUCACCUGUUUGGUACACUUUCUGGACGAUACAGAGGAAUAUUUCGAGAUUGAUAAACGGAGUAAAGCUCAGGCAUUGCUUGAGAAAGUCUAUGAUCAUCUUGAACUCAUUGAAAAAGACUACUUUGGUCUUCAGUUCUUAGAAGUUGCACCAACACCUGAAGGAAUGAGAUGGGUUGAUCCUUUGAAAACAGUCAAGAAACAAUGCAGAGGUCCAACAUACGAGUUUUAUUUUCGAGUGAAAUUCUAUGUGUCUGACCCCAGCAAACUGGGUGAAGAAUAUACAAGAUACCAUUUCUUCCUCCAAUUAAAGAAGGACCUUUUAGAAGGUCGGCUGGUCUGUCCUCAUUCUACCUCGGCACUAUUAUCAAGUUAUGCAAUCCAGUCUGAAUUAGGUGACUAUAAUCCUGAAGAUCACAAAGGAAAUUACCUGUCUGAGUUCCGGUUUAUUCCCAGCCAAACCGUGGAGUUUGAACGACAAGUUAUAGAAUAUCACAAACAACACAGAGGUCAAACUCCAGCUGAGGCUGAGUAUUGUUUCUUAGAACGAGCAAAACGCCUGGAGAUGUAUGGAGUUGAUUUACACAAUGCCAGGGAUCAAAGCAAUCUCGAGAUACAACUUGGAGUUACUUCAGCAGGUCUUGUGGUAUUUCAGAACUUUAUAAAAAUCAACACAUUCUCAUGGGAUGAUGACAAAUAUGAUCAGGAAGACCGUGCAGACUACUACUACCCUGGACUUAGUAGGACUAGUGAGCAAACCGAUAGGGCAAAAAUAGUGAAGAUAUCCUUUAAACGAAAACAGUUUUUCAUUCAGUUACGUCGAGAAGUGAAUGAUACUGUUGAAAAUUUGAUUGGUUUCAAUAUGGUCAGUUACCGCUCUUGCAAGAAUCUGUGGAAGUCCUGUGUUGAACACCACACGUUUUUCCGUCUUCAUGCACCAAACCCACCAUCAAAGAAAAUUUUUUCAUUAGGUUCUAAAUUUCGAUACAGUGGCAAAACAGAAUAUCAAACUCUAGAAGAAAGUAAGCGGCGAGCCAAAAUUGAAAGGUCUUUCUCAAGAACUGAUGGGAUGCCGAAAAGUCCUUCCGAAAUCUUCAGGUCACCUAGCAAGCGGUACGCUCGGCGAACCGUUGGUGGUGUUACGAGAAGUACAAUAUCAGAGGAACGUAAUACCAUCGAUGGUUGUCGGAACCUACCCAAGUCUCAUACCUUUGCAGCAGGCUCCUCAAACUCUUACCAAAAUUUUAAUCGUUGUGAUGGAUCUUUAAGGUCAACGUUACCAUGUGAUUAUAAAUCCAGGAUGACCUGGGCUGAUAGUAACAAAUCAGAAAAAUCAGAUGAUGAUGGUGGUUUCUUAUCUCGGGGGCCAUCAACUAGGACUGCUGGAACUUACGCUGCUGAUCAAGAUACAGUCCCUGAAUCUCUAUAUGAUCUUCCUGCAUACAAUGAUGGUUACAUGGCAGAUGCAAUACAAUUGCUCUUGUUCAGCAUUAAUUCCCUGAAGGCCAAAGCCUUCCUGAAGUCAAAUGGCAAUGGUUAUACUGACAGUCAAGGAUUAGUUACCAUCAAAAUGAAACCGGAUGAACAAGGGAAAUUUGGGUUUAAUGUGAAGGGUGGAUCUGACCAGUGUAUGCCCAUCAUAGUUUCUCGGGUGGCACCCAAUACCCCAGCAGAUUUAUGUAUACCUCGGCUAAACGAGGGCGACCAAGUGUUAUUUAUAAAUGGCCGUGAUGUUUCUCAACACACUCAUGAACAGGUUGUGAUGUUUAUCAAAGCGUCUCGGGAGACACAUUCAGGAGAAUUAGCUCUUAUUAUUAGACCUAAUGUUUAUGUUAGUGAAGAUAAUGCUGAAGAACCAGACUUGAUGUAUAUACCUGAGACACACCAAAUAGCAAGUACCAUGUCUGGGGCCAACACUCUCCAGGCCUCCAUGAUGCUCCUGCAGGAGAGUCUGGAGAGUGGGGCUGCCAUGGCACAGUUUGAACAACUUUAUAGAAAAAAGCAUGGCCUGACAAUGAAUGCAGCAAGGUUACCCGCCAACAUCUCAAAGAACAGAUACAGAGAUGUGUCACCCUAUGACCAGACCCGAGUGAUAUUAAAAGGUAGUCAAAAUGGGGACUAUAUAAAUGCCAACUUUGUAAAUAUGGAAAUUCCCGGAUCUGGCAUCAUCAAUCGAUAUAUUGCCGCUCAAGGUCCAUUACCUAACACAUGUGCUGACUUUUGGCAGAUGGUUUGGGAACAACAUUGUACAUUGGUUGUUAUGUUAACUACAAAAGUAGAAAGGGGACGUGUGAAAUGCCACCAAUACUGGCCGGACUUAUACGAAACAACUGACUUUGGCAUUUUACAGAUCACUUGUGUCAAAGAAGAAGAAACUAUAUCAUUUGCUUUCAGAGAAUUCACAUUAACACAUGUAGAGACUAACCAAGAGAGACAUAUAAAACAUAUGCAGUACAUUGCUUGGCCAGAUCAUGGUGUACCUGAUGAUCCGGCUGACUUUUUAGAUUUUGUGAUCCGGGUUCGGAAGAAUAGGAUUGGAAUGGUUGAGCCUACUGUGGUGCAUUGCAGCGCUGGAAUUGGUCGGACAGGAGUUCUAAUUACGAUGGAAACGGCUAUGUGCUUAGUGGAAGCCAAUCAAACUGUAUUUCCUCUUGCAAUUGUACGCCAGAUGAGAGAUCAGCGAGCAAUGCUUAUACAGACAGCUAGUCAGUACAAAUUUGUCUGUGAAGCCAUCCUGCGAGUAUACCAUGGGAGAUAAAUCUAAGGGAUUUGCCCUUUUGGAUCAUCCACCUGGUUUAUAUAUAUAGAUAUAAAAAAUACAAAAAUAAACAAACCUAUAACUGCUGAGAAUGGUUCAACAAUUGGGAAGAGACAGUCGUCCAACCCCUUGAUGAUUAUCAACGAUGACCUGAUGAUAUCUCUGCUGACUGCUCUCAUGGACCUAGGACAGGGCUGGCCACAGAUAAUGAAGAAAUGAAGCUUUUGGUGCUUCCAUUUGUUAGACUGACUAACAUGAAGAAAACAAGCUUUUUUUUUAAAUAGAGGAAAGAAAAUGCAAAAUUAUUAUAUAUACAUAUAUAUAUAUAUAAUCAACCAGCUAUAUCGAAGACAGCAACUUUUUCCAACAUUAAUGUAGCUGUUGUGACAGCAAUCUUGGUCACAUAGCUGAUUGAUUCCUGAAAACUUUUGCCAAGAGUUUAGUGUUUCUUCAAAGUAGCCAUUGAUACAUUUCAUAAAGUUGUGCUACUGGAAUUAUCUUUGCUGGCACUGGCCACCCUUACCAUGAUGAUACCCACCUACCCAGUUAACCACCAACUCCUGCUCCACUCACACCCUUUAUGCUGCAGCCAAUGCCACCACAACCUUCCCCUCCUCUUCUUCCUCUCCCAAUGAAAUACAACGAUACCAAUACCCCGACCUGUCAAUGAAUGGCUUUGCGGAACAUGUUAACUGAUCUCUGAUUAACCUUAAUUACCAUUCACUGUGACCAGCAACCAAUCCCUUAUAUACUCAUCCUCUAACCACUGUGAUUUGCAGUUGUUCAUUUAUUUAGCCACUAACAACCUGUUGCACACUAACUGGGGGCAGGGGCUCUGUCUACCAUUGUUAGCUACAAGCAAGUUCAUAACAGUUUUAAGGACUGAUCUAGACAAUUUGGUUUAUUUUAAUUUGUUUUGAAAACAAGCUGCAAAUUCCAGCCAAUUGAGAACAAUUAGUAAUGGAAAACAUGCAGUGAAGGCGAUUUAGUUUACUGGACUUAGUUAAGCUUCCCUUCUAGCUUUUGGUUUCUGAUGCUGGCAUGUCUGGGGAUAACAAGAAGUUGCCCUUUAUUUGGAUACCUCUCAAACCACAAGAAUGUGUCUGAAAAAUAUAUAGAUAUAUGUGUUAGGACUGUGUGUGUGUGUAUUUGCUUGAAAGUGUUGAGAUGAGUUAUUCUCUUUCAAACUGUUUUAUAAUAGUUUUUCAACACAAUGCCCAUGUGUGUUAUGAAAUGUCAGUUUAACACAUUUCAAUCUCUCCCUUGUGAAUUCAAGAGUAUUUUACAUUUAUAUAUCUUUUAUACUGUAAUCAACCCUUUAUCUCCUCUUUCUGCCCCUCUCAUUUAAUCUUAUUUUCCUCUAACAAACUUUUUCUUUUCUUUCACCCUUUGAAAAUUCCAAAGCCCAAAUCAAUAAUUACAUCACCGUAAAAACAGCUUAUUUUACCUCUCCAUAAAUUUGAAAGUAAUUGUCCUUUGUGUGUGUGUGUAAAUCUGUAUCUUCAAGCCAAAUAUCAAAUGAAUUGUACAGCCUUGUCAUGCUGAUUCUACUCAAGAAUUAUGUUAAGGGUACAAGAGUCUGUGGAGUGCUCAGCUAAGCCAGAUCCACCCUUUUCCUGCCUCUCUCAUAGCUAGUGCAAUGUUCAUAGUUGCUUGCUCUAGUAUUUAGGAGACCCACUUUGUUUAAUUAUGUUAGUAAUUGAUAUAAAAUGCAGUGAAAUGUCUAUUUGGUUGUGCAGCUAUAGACACACAUAAGAUAGUAAGUUUACACUAAGGUUUUUUUAUAUUAUCAUGCCAAUAUUUUUCAAUGCAUGUCACUGCUUUUGAAUUUUUUUUAUGGUGCAAAUGCUGUGAAAAUGGGUUCCAACCAUGUCAUUGCAGUAUUUCUCUCUCCGAGUUAAAAUAUUCAACUUGUUUCAGUUUGUCAGCAGAAAAAUAUAUUUGUUUAAACAUUUCUUCUUCAUAUCCAAUACCUGCUACCAUGAAGAAAUCAACCAGAAAUAUUACUUUAUUGAAAAAUAAAUCUCAGUGGUUCAUAGGGGUUUGAGAUUCUUUGUUAUAGUAAAGGAAGGGUUCUGUAAUUUUACAGUUUCCAUUGAGUUUCAUUUUAUUUUAAAUAAACCCAUUGUUGAAAUUACUUGAUACCCAAUGCCUCACAAAUUUGCUGUCACUUAGUUAUUGUUUCUCCCAACCAUUUCUUUCAUUCCUCAGACAAUCGCUACACUAAUUCUCCCCUGCCACCAUUAUUAUUAUUAUUAUUAUUGGCAAACUGCAGCUGAUUCCAAGCAAAUAAAUUAAGAAGCUGAUCGGACCCAACAAACUAAUGUCUCCUCAUUCAACUCCCCACCCCUUUGUGUAAGACAGUUUUUAAUCAAUGUAAAUAGUGUAACAUUCUAUUUUCAUUGCAUAUAUUUUUUUUUCUCGUGCCCCUCCCCCCAACCAUGAUAUGUCUGCAUGGCCGUUAAGUGUCAUCAGCUAGGAGCCAAUCUCCACAAUCUGUGUAGAAUUUAUUUAAUGGGAUUCAUGGAAAAUAUAAAAUUUACUUUAGACAUA